GCUCAGUAGACUUGUUCAAGAGACGCGACAGGUUGAGAGAAACCACCUAGUUAAGGCAUGUCUAAAAGAAUAACAGGAGCCACCCGAAUCACAGAUGAUGAACUUAAGGAACUUGUCCUGAAAUUACAAGCACUCGUACCUGCAGAGUCUAGCUCAAGGAGCACUACAAGGGUAUCAUCAUCAAAGAUUCUCAAAGAGACAUGCAAUUACAUCAAGAAGUUGCACAAAGAGGUAGAUGAUUUAAGCACCAGACUUACUUAUUUACUAGACUCCAUGGAUAGUAACAGUGUGGAUGUGGAGACUCUCCGAAGCCUUUUGCAACAAUCUUACAUUUAGGUCUGGAACUCCCGGUCUCCUCAAGAACAGAACUCUAUGGUCAUUGUAACAUGAAAAUAUAACAUAUCUUACUUAGCACUCUAUCCGGAAACUAGCUUUGUUUCCCCUGGUUUUGUUGGAUUUAUAAUAGAGAAACAUGGUACGAGUGGCACCAUUUCAUACAAGGCUUUGAGAAUCUGAAUUUUUGGUGAAAUGAAGGAAAUUAUAUGUACUUCUUUUUUUUUUGAAUAAAAAAUUAUAUGUACUUCUAGUUUCGUUCUUUUCAGUGGAUGAAAUGCAAAUCUUUAAUAAGAAUGUCAAAGCUGUUCUGCAUA
Molecule: long non-coding RNA, 650 nt
Organism: Daucus carota subsp. sativus
Lineage: Eukaryota; Viridiplantae; Streptophyta; Magnoliopsida; Apiales; Apiaceae
Exons: 2
Source: RefSeq, a predicted model, not a curated record